AUGCUUUCCUGGUAGGGGGACACUAAUCAUGGAGGUGGUUCUCCUGCGGUGAGGAACAGCCGCUCACCCCAGGCAAUUUCACCAAUGUGGGAAUCUCUACGGCACAGUUUCUGGUACUGGGGGACUGUGUUCACGCUCUCGUC
This 143-nucleotide small nuclear RNA is filed under the name Paramormyrops kingsleyae. RNAcentral describes it as "U1 spliceosomal RNA (ENSPKIG00000006879.1)". The record is from RNAcentral. Lineage: Eukaryota; Metazoa; Chordata; Actinopteri; Osteoglossiformes; Mormyridae.